This 253-nucleotide ribosomal RNA is filed under the name uncultured bacterium. Its description in RNAcentral is "partial 16S ribosomal RNA". It matches the Rfam family "Bacterial small subunit ribosomal RNA", at positions 524 to 776 of the family's 1533-position model. The record is from RNAcentral.
UACGUAGGGACCGAGCGUUGUCCGGAAUCAUUGGGCGUAAAGAGCGUGUAGGCGGCCUUUUAAGUCCUGCGUGAAAUCCUGCGGCUCAACCGCAGACGGUCGUGGGAAACUGGAAGGCUAGAGUGCGGGAGAGGCGAGUGGAAUUCCUGGUGUAGCGGUGAAAUGCGCAGAUAUCAGGAGGAACACCAAUUGCGAAGGCAGCUCGCUGGAACGUAACUGACGCUGAGACGCGAAAGCGUGGGGAGCAAACGGG